GACGAACGCUGGCGGCGUGCUUAACACAUGCAAGUGGAGCGACGAACCGGGGCUUGCCCCGGGGCAGAGCCGCGAACGGGUGAGUAACACGUGGGUAACCCACCCCGAUGACCGGGACAACCCGAGGAAACUCGGGCUAAUACCGGAUGUGCUCCUUGACCUCGAGGUCAAGGCGUAAAGAUAGCUUCGGCCUUCGCAAUCGGGACGGGCCCGCGGCCCAUUAGCUUGUUGGUGGGGUAAAGGCCUACCAAGGCGACGANGGGUAGCUGGUCUGAGAGGACGAUCAGCCACACUGGGACUGAGACACGGCCCAGACUCCUACGGGAGGCAGCAGUGGGGAAUCUUGCGCAAUGCGCGAAAGCGUGACGCAGCAACGCCG
RNAcentral lists this ribosomal RNA (379 nucleotides) under uncultured bacterium. RNAcentral's name for it is "bacterial SSU rRNA". It matches the Rfam family "Bacterial small subunit ribosomal RNA", at positions 28 to 399 of the family's 1533-position model. The record is from RNAcentral.